UAAGGAAUAUUGGUCAAUGGACGCAAGUCUGAACCAGCCAUGCCGCGUGAAGGAUGAAGGUCCUCUGGAUUGUAAACUUCUUUUAUCUGGGACGAAAACGGGAUUUUUAUCUCAAUUGACGGUACCAGAGGAAUAAGCACCGGCUAACUCCGUGCCAGCAGCCGCGGUAAUACGGAGGGUGCGAGCGUUAUCCGGAUUUACUGGGUUUAAAGGGUGCGUAGGUGGGCUUAUAAGUCAGUGGUGAAAUCUCCGAGCUUAACUUGGAAACUGCCGUUGAUACUAUAGGUCUUGAAUUAUCUGGAGGUAAGCGGAAUAUGUCAUGUAGCGGUGAAAUGCUUAGAUAUGACAUAGAAUACCAAUUGCGAAGGCAGCUUACUACAUAUAAAUUGACGCUGAGGCACGAAAGCGUGGGGAUCAAACA
This 421-nucleotide ribosomal RNA is filed under the name uncultured bacterium. Its description in RNAcentral is "bacterial SSU rRNA". It matches the Rfam family "Bacterial small subunit ribosomal RNA", at positions 355 to 774 of the family's 1533-position model. The record is from RNAcentral.